Molecule: transfer RNA, 67 nt
Filed under: Gnathostomula armata
Lineage: Eukaryota; Metazoa; Gnathostomulida; Bursovaginoidea; Gnathostomulidae
Description: tRNA-Trp
Source: RNAcentral
AGUAAAUUAAUUUAUAAAAAAAAUAUUAUCCUUCAAAGAUAAAAAAAUCAUUAUUGUUUAUUUGCUA